UUAAAUUUUUGAAGUUAUCUUAGCUUUUUUGUUGGGUGAAAUCAGUAUAAAGAGUUUCUCUUUCUUUUAAAAUUAAUAGGAAUUAAAAAACUUUGAUUUAAAACCAGGAUUAGAUACCCUGUUAUUCUAAGUUAUAUUUAGACAGGGUAGUAAAAGUUGUUCUUCAAACCCAAAGAUUUUGGCGGCACUUUAUCCAAAUAGAGGAGCUUGUCCCUUAAUCGAUAGUCCCCGUUUUAUCUUUCCUCUGUUUGUAGAGCUUGUAUACCGCCGUUGUCAGAUCACUUUUAGAGAAUGUUUUCAAGUUAAAAGACUUUUUUACUUCAGGUCAAGGUGCAGUUUAUAUAGAGGUGGAGGUGAGCUACAAUUUUCUUUAGAAAUACGGAUUUCAAGCCUYGAAUCUGGUUGAAGGUGGAUUUAUUAGUAAAGUAA
This 429-nucleotide ribosomal RNA is filed under the name Daphnia dentifera. RNAcentral describes it as "partial 12S rRNA". Lineage: Eukaryota; Metazoa; Arthropoda; Branchiopoda; Diplostraca; Daphniidae. The record is from RNAcentral.